This 603-nucleotide small RNA is filed under the name Pongo abelii (Sumatran orangutan). RNAcentral describes it as "retained intron". Lineage: Eukaryota; Metazoa; Chordata; Mammalia; Primates; Hominidae. The record is from RNAcentral.
GAUGCUGAGCCUGCUGCUGCUGGCGCUGCCCGUCCUGGUGAGCCCGGCCUACGCGGCCCCUGCCCCAGGCCAGGCCCUGCAGCGAGUGGGCAUCGUCGGGGGGCAGGAGGCCCCCAGGAGCAAGUGGCCCUGGCAGGUGAGCCUGAGAGUCCACGGCCAAUACUGGAUGCACUUCUGUGGCGGCUCCCUCAUCCACCCCCAGUGGGUGCUGACCGCGGCGCACUGCGUGGGACCGGACGUCAAGGAUCUGGCCGCCCUCAGGGUGCAACUGCGGGAGCAGCACCUCUACUACCAGGACCAGCUGCUGCCGGUCAGCAGGAUCGUCAUGCACCCACAAUUCUACAUCAUCCAGACCGGGGCGGACAUUGCCCUGCUGGAGCUGGAGGAGCCUGUGAACAUCUCCAGCAACGUCCACACAGUCACCCUGCCCCUUGCCUCGGAGACCUUCCCCGCAGGGACGCCGUGCUGGGUCACCGGCUGGGGUGAUGUGGACAAUAAUGGUGGGUGUUGGGGACAGCGGGAGGUCGGGCCAGGUGGGCACCAGGUCACAGCCACAGGCCAGCCCCUGGGGUGACAGGUCCCUCGGGGUGGCUCAGGGAGGGG